This 1496-nucleotide long non-coding RNA is filed under the name Gallus gallus (chicken). Its description in RNAcentral is "lncRNA (ENSGALG00010020220.1)". Lineage: Eukaryota; Metazoa; Chordata; Aves; Galliformes; Phasianidae. The record is from RNAcentral.
UGAAAACCUGGGAAAUAGAGAUGGAGGCAACAAGAAGUCAUAACUGUCCAUCCAGAGCACGGCUCAAUGCGAGCAGAUACACUGCUGCUAAAUGUCCUGCAGGCUCACACAGCUGGAAUGGGCCUCCGGUGCUGAUUUUCUGUGCUGGCAAACUAUGUUUUGCAGAGAAAGUAAGUCAGGUUCACAACACUUCUGUGUUUUUUUGUCGUAACGAGCGAGCUAUAACGCUAAAUUAAAGCCGAGUGCCAUAAAACGGAGACAGACACAUUUUCACCUUUGAAAGCUGUCAGUGCAGGCCAAAGAGCAGCGUAAUGAUACAGACAAUACAAACCACAGGGAGCUGCAGACCUACAGCAGCACCAGCCAGCACAGCCCUGCUCUGAAACGUGGGCUUACUGUGAGUACGCUGCAGGACUAACAGCAUGCAUCGGGCUAAGAAUUCAGAACAAGGAAGGCAGCGAAGCCACAACGGGUGAGGUCUGGUUGACUGCUUCAUGGUUAAGAGUGUCCUACCUUCUCUGUUCUCUUUACAUGACAAAGCAGUGAGUAUUCGUCGUCAGGCUGUGACUAAUCAGAAAAUCCACCACCAAACCGCAUUACAAAACACCAACCCAAACCAAAACCAACCAAACGCUAAUAAAUAAUGGUUAUCAGAUGGUCGCUAAUGAAGGUGAAUGACUUCAAACUCUCCCGGGGACACCUUCAGAAGCCAUCCUACCUGGAGGAAGAGAACCUGGGAGAAUGACAGACUUCAUCAAAACCUGAGAGUGGAAGCUGAAGUGGAACUUUAAGGUCUACGCUGCUCCCUGUGAAAGCCAAACACAGUGCUUCAGGAAGAUGGAACUUACCUGCUCUCAUUGUGCUUUUGAUUACUACUGUAAUCCUAUUUAACUGCUGUUGAAAUAAUGCCUUAUUAUCGUUCCGACACCUUUGAAAGACAGAAGCACUCAUUAAGAGGUUUCUCAGAUGCGAGGAGGAAGCAGAAGCGAGCAGAUUGAACCACGUGUUGCUGAAUUUACACCUUAGAGGAAAUAAAGUCAUCAGUACACACACAGCUGAUACAUACACGUUCAUGAAAAGCAACUACACGUUAAAACAAGGAAGGAUGCAAAUAUUUUCUUAUGUCCUUGCACACGAAUUUUAUGUUGCUUUCUAGUUUUCAGAUCACCUGCUAAUACACAACCUGAAGUAAUACAUCUGCCAGCUCUUCCUAUCAACUGUAGGUGGCAGGGGAGGGUCUGCAUGUUCCUAGAGCCCAGUUCUUCCUAACAGCUCUAAGUGUUUGACCCCACCAUCCUCUGCAAUGUAUUUUACCUGCCAACUAAGCUGGAAAUCGUGCUUCUCGUCUUGACACAACCUGGAGGAGAUCAGGAGGCAGAACAGUGAGCUCUGCCAAGAGGGUGCUUUGGUUUUCAUUGCUCCUGCAAACAUCUCUUAAAAAAAAAAAAAACAAUCCCCAAUUCGAUACAUUCAUAAUUGAAGGCACUGAAAAGGCA